GGGCCCGUAGCUUAGCCAGGUCAGAGCGCUCGGCUCAUAACCGAGCGGUCCUGCGUUCGAAUCGCAGUGGGCCCA
Molecule: transfer RNA, 75 nt
Filed under: Methanobacteriota archaeon
Lineage: Archaea; Methanobacteriati; Methanobacteriota
Also listed under: 3 other names
Description: Euryarchaeota archaeon tRNA-Ile
Rfam family: tRNA
About the family: Transfer RNA (tRNA) molecules are approximately 80 nucleotides in length.
Source: RNAcentral